This 501-nucleotide ribosomal RNA is filed under the name Virgibacillus dokdonensis. RNAcentral describes it as "bacterial SSU rRNA". It matches the Rfam family "Bacterial small subunit ribosomal RNA", at positions 311 to 803 of the family's 1533-position model. The record is from RNAcentral. Lineage: Bacteria; Bacillati; Bacillota; Bacilli; Caryophanales; Bacillaceae.
CACUGGGACUGAGACACGGCCCAGACUCCUACGGGAGGCAGCAGUAGGGAAUCUUCCGCAAUGGACGAAAGUCUGACGGAGCAACGCCGCGUGAGUGAUGAAGGUUUUCGGAUCGUAAAACUCUGUUGUUAGGGAAGAACAAGUGCCAUUCAAAUAGGUUGGCACCUUGACGGUACCUAACCAGAAAGCCCCGGCUAACUACGUGCCAGCAGCCGCGGUAAUACGUAGGGGGCAAGCGUUGUCCGGAAUUAUUGGGCGUAAAGCGCGCGCAGGCGGUCCUUUAAGUCUGAUGUGAAAGCCCACGGCUUAACCGUGGAGGGCCAUUGGAAACUGGAGGACUUGAGUACAGAAGAGGAGAGUGGAAUUCCACGUGUAGCGGUGAAAUGCGUAGAGAUGUGGAGGAACACCAGUGGCGAAGGCGACUCUCUGGUCUGUAACUGACGCUGAGGUGCGAAAGCGUGGGUAGCGAACAGGAUUAGAUACCCUGGUAGUCCACGCCGU